GGAGGGGCGUCUCGCCUCCGUGUCGCCCGCCCACUGGGUGUGUUCACCGACAGUCGGCCUCGGCAUCCACCUGCUCCCGCCCUUACUGCCUCCAGUCAGAAGCGGCUAACUUUAGUGAGACACCCACGCGGCUUGUCUGGACCUCUUUUCCACCACGGGGACUUUUCUUUCACGCUCUUUUUUUGUUGUUGUUCUUGCUUCCCACGAGAUGUGGAUUGUGGCUGCUCUCUUUCUGCUCUUCUGACAACUACAGAAACAUAUUCCCUUUUCAAUGAAUCCUGCACACUGAACACGGACCGUUCAGAAAGUGCACCGGGAUUGUAUUAUUAUUAUCGAUUUCAGCUUGGAAACGGACGUGAUCGAUCAAUUGGAUUUUUUUUUUCCUUUUUUUUUCCCCAAUGACUAAACCAGACCGGCUGUGAAGUUUGGCCGAAUAUCCGGAUAGCUUCAACAACCAGAUUUGUUUUGUUAAAUCACUGAUUGUGUGCUACUAGAGGUCGGUCGACUAUGCAGCUAGACGGUCUGUGGACGUUCCACACCCUACUGGGGUUGUGCAGCUUUGCUCUGGGGAACCCACUGAGCAAUGACCCACUUGCUGCACCUCGUGUCUUCAUCUCCUUCAAAGCCAUACAGAUUAGGUGAGAUGGAUUCUGUAGGGGUCCGAGUUAGAGACCAUAUUAUCAAGAGCAAAUUGCCAGGAUCAGCCAAGCAGAGCGACAUCCCUGAGGCCCGUCCAGCUCGGAGAUCAAGCCUUUGAUUAGCAUCAAGAGAAAAGCGGAGGCAGCGAGCUGCGGCGCUCUGUUUGCUUUGCUUUCCAUUCCCCAUUGCUGCCUGGAACAAGUUGACUUAAUUAAGUGGACCCGUACGGUCCAUUGUUGAACUUGCUUUCCUGUUUUAAUCAAGUAGGAUUUAACACAUCAGUGAGCACACUCCGAGCUCUGCCUUUUUAUUUUACAUUUCAAAUUUAAUUUUAGUCGUUUUGUCAUACUCGGGCUGUGUUUUUGUGUAGACGUGUCACAGAGGUAUUUUGUUAAUGUCAUUUAAUCUACAGAAACCGGUUUGUAGUGAAGCUACUUAUAAGAUGCUUUUAAAUUGGCACUCUGUUAAAGGGGAACAUUAUCACAAUUUCAAAAGGGUUGAAAACAAUAAAAAUCAGUUCCCAGUGGCUUGUUGUAUUUUUUGAAGUUUUUU
This is a long non-coding RNA of Nerophis ophidion (straightnose pipefish), 1191 nucleotides long. RefSeq lists it as uncharacterized. Lineage: Eukaryota; Metazoa; Chordata; Actinopteri; Syngnathiformes; Syngnathidae. The transcript has 3 exons. The record is from RefSeq and is a predicted model, not a curated record.